This 492-nucleotide ribosomal RNA is filed under the name uncultured bacterium. Its description in RNAcentral is "partial 16S ribosomal RNA". It matches the Rfam family "Bacterial small subunit ribosomal RNA", at positions 29 to 507 of the family's 1533-position model. The record is from RNAcentral.
AGUGAACGCUGGCGGUAGGCCUAACACAUGCAAGCCGAACGGCAGCACAGUAAGAGCUUGCUCCUACGGGUGGCGAGUGGCGGACGGGUGAGGAAUACAUCGGAAUCUACUUUUUCGUGGGGGAUAACGUAGGGAAACUUACGCUAAUACCGCAUACGACCUACGGGUGAAAGCAGGGGAUCUUCGGACCUUGCGCGAUUGAAUGAGCCGAUGUCGGAUUAGCUAGUUGGCGGGGUAAAGGCCCACCAAGGCGACGAUCCGUAGCUGGUCUGAGAGGAUGAUCAGCCACACUGGAACUGAGACACGGUCCAGACUCCUACGGGAGGCAGCAGUGGGGAAUAUUGGACAAUGGGCGCAAGCCUGAUCCAGCCAUACCGCGUGGGUGAAGAAGGCCUUCGGGUUGUAAAGCCCUUUUGUUGGGAAAGAAAAGCAGCAGGUUAAUACCCCGCUGUUCUGACGGUACCCAAAGAAUAAGCACCGGCUAACUUCGUG